Molecule: ribosomal RNA, 496 nt
Filed under: uncultured bacterium
Lineage: Bacteria
Description: partial 16S ribosomal RNA
Rfam family: Bacterial small subunit ribosomal RNA
Source: RNAcentral
GAUGAACGCUGGCGGCGUGCCUAAUACAUGCAAGUAGAACGCUGAAGGAAGGAGCUUGCUCUUUCCGGAUGAGUUGCGAACGGGUGAGUAACGCGUAGGUAACCUGCCUGGUAGCGGGGGAUAACUAUUGGAAACGAUAGCUAAUACCGCAUAACAGUAGAUGUUGCAUGAUAUCUACUUAAAAGGUGCAAUUGCACCACUACCAGAUGGACCUGCGUUGUAUUAGCUAGUUGGUGAGGUAACGGCUCACCAAGGCGACGAUACAUAGCCGACCUGAGAGGGUGAUCGGCCACACUGGGACUGAGACACGGCCCAGACUCCUACGGGAGGCAGCAGUAGGGAAUCUUCGGCAAUGGACGGAAGUCUGACCGAGCAACGCCGCGUGAGUGAAGAAGGUUUUCGGAUCGUAAAGCUCUGUUGUAAGAGAAGAACGAGUGUGAGAGUGGAAAGUUCACACUGUGACGGUAUCGUACCAGAAAGGGACGGCUAACUACGU